GGCCCCGUCGUCUAGCCCGGUCUAGGACACUACCCUUUCACGGUAGGGACAUGGGUUCGAAUCCCAUCGGGGUCA
Molecule: transfer RNA, 75 nt
Filed under: Tepidisphaera sp.
Lineage: Bacteria; Pseudomonadati; Planctomycetota; Phycisphaerae; Tepidisphaerales; Tepidisphaeraceae
Also listed under: 3 other names
Description: tRNA-Glu
Rfam family: tRNA
About the family: Transfer RNA (tRNA) molecules are approximately 80 nucleotides in length. Their secondary structure includes four short double-helical elements and three loops (D, anti-codon, and T loops). Further hydrogen bonds mediate the characteristic L-shaped molecular structure. tRNAs have two regions of fundamental functional importance: the anti-codon, which is responsible for specific mRNA codon recognition, and the 3' end, to which the tRNAs corresponding amino acid is attached (by aminoacyl-tRNA synthetases). tRNAs cope with the degeneracy of the genetic code in two manners: having more than one tRNA (with a specific anti-codon) for a particular amino acid; and 'wobble' base-pairing, i.e. permitting non-standard base-pairing at the 3rd anti-codon position.
Source: RNAcentral